AUGGGGCGCCUUGGCUCUUCCACACUUGCCACGGUCUCAGAACUGAUAGAUGAUUACACAGGCAGUUGGAAUGUGGAAAUCAUUCAAGAAAAUUUCUUGCAACCGGAUGUUGAAGCUGUCCUCAAUAUACCUCUUAACAGCAACGGUGGUCAAGAUUCUUUGGCAUGGGCCUUAGAGAAAUCUGGCAACUACUCUGUAAAAUCCGCGUAUUGCUCUCUUGUGACUCAGAACGAGCACCACGCUCUAGAGGAAGGGACGAUUACAGAAACUUCAUCAACUAACAAACAGAUGUGGGAUGCCCUUUGGAAACUACAUGUGGUUCCAAAAGUCUGUGUAUUCUGGUGGAGAGUUCUCUGGGGAAUACUACUAGAUUCAGUCACUUUACAAUACCGACACAUCAAGCCAUUGCACCGGUGUGAUAUCUGCAAAGCAAUGGAUGAAGACUUGCUUCAUGCAUUAGUUCACUGCUCGCAUGCAAGGCAGUUCUGGAUUGCAGCUGCAGAUAGAUUUCAGCUUCGUCUACCUCAUUUGCAUCCGGAUACUUGGGCACAUGAUAUUCUUAUGGAUUCUCAGUUUGAAGAGGAAGAACGCUGCAGGAUUUUCACGAUCAUGCAUAGUAUAUGGUCCUCACGCAACUGUUGGACUCAUGAUCGUGAUGGCUAUGACCCAGUUCAAGCCCUGAAGUGGAUUCAUGAAAACUUGGCUAUUCUGGACCUUCCACCAUCGCGCAAGAAGGGCUCGGAAGCUCAGUGUUGGCGCCCUCCCGAGGCAGGUUGGGUUACUAUAAACACUGAUGCUGCUGUCAGUAUUGAGAACAUGAAGGCAUGA
Molecule: ribosomal RNA, 828 nt
Filed under: Triticum aestivum (bread wheat)
Lineage: Eukaryota; Viridiplantae; Streptophyta; Magnoliopsida; Poales; Poaceae
Description: partial small subunit ribosomal RNA
Source: RNAcentral